UAAUACGUAGGAGGCAAGCGUUAUCCGGAUUUACUGGGCGUAAAGAGGGCGCAGGCGGCUUUUCAAGUCGGAUGUGAAAUUUCCUGGCUUAACUAGGAGGGGUCAUUCGAUACUGUUAGGCUAGCGGGCAGCAGAGGGAGGUGGAAUUCCCGGUGUAGUGGUGAAAUGCGUAGAUAUCGGGAGGAACACCAGUGGCGAAGGCGGCCUCCUGGGCUGUACCUGACGCUGAGGCCCAAAAGCGUGGGGAGCAAACAGGAUUAGAUACCCUGGUAGUCCACGCUGUAAACGAUGGACACUAGGUAUGGGGAGUAUCGACCCUCUCCGUGCCGAAGCUAACGCUUUAAGUGUCCCGCCUGGGGACUACGGCCGCAAGGCUA
This 377-nucleotide ribosomal RNA is filed under the name uncultured bacterium. Its description in RNAcentral is "bacterial SSU rRNA". It matches the Rfam family "Bacterial small subunit ribosomal RNA", at positions 521 to 896 of the family's 1533-position model. The record is from RNAcentral.